Molecule: unclassified non-coding RNA, 244 nt
Filed under: Hevea brasiliensis (rubber tree)
Lineage: Eukaryota; Viridiplantae; Streptophyta; Magnoliopsida; Malpighiales; Euphorbiaceae
Source: RNAcentral
GUUUUGUAACAUUCUUUCCUGUUGCAAAGAUAACAUCCUCAGAGAAGUACGACGCUACGCGACGAGAAACAUACAUAAACAAGAGUUUAAUACAAACCAUACAAGAGAUUUCUAUCGUUAGUAGUCAUCGCCUCUUGAUAUAACCUCUUUGCAAGUCGGACGAAGUAAAAUGGUGUGCUCAAACUGGGAUACGUAGCUACCUUUGUUAUCGCAAAGUGGGGGAUAUGGCUGAACAAUUCCAGCA